RNAcentral lists this ribosomal RNA (448 nucleotides) under uncultured bacterium. RNAcentral's name for it is "partial 16S ribosomal RNA". It matches the Rfam family "Bacterial small subunit ribosomal RNA", at positions 328 to 793 of the family's 1533-position model. The record is from RNAcentral.
AGGCCAGACUCCUACGGGAGGCAGCAGUGGGGAAUAUUGCACAAUGGGGGAAACCCUGAUGCAGCGACGCCGCGUGAAGGAUGAAGUAUUUCGGUAUGUAAACUUCUAUCAGCAGGGAAGAAAAUGACGGUACCUGACUAAGAAGCCCCGGCUAACUACGUGCCAGCAGCCGCGGUAAUACGUAGGGGGCAAGCGUUAUCCGGAUUUACUGGGUGUAAAGGGGGCGCAGACGGCGAUGCAAGCCAGGAGUGAAAGCCCGGGGCCCAACCCCGGGACUGCUCUUGGAACUGCGUGGCUGGAGUGCAGGAGGGGCAGGCGGAAUUCCUGGUGUAGCGGUGAAAUGCGUAGAUAUCAGGAGGAACACCGGUGGCGAAGGCGGCCUGCUGGACUGCAACUGACGUUGAGGCCCGAAAGCGUGGGGAGCAAACAGGAUUAGAUACCCGAGUAA